AUUUAUUUACUUCAAGAGUUAAGAGUGGCGGUUUGGGGAUAGCACGAGGAGAUAUCAGCUGUGAUGGCUUGGAGAAACAGUGUAAACCGGCAGUGUAAACAAGAGCAGGGCAUGUAUGAGUAGUUGAGAACGGAGAAUAGGAGUAUGACUAGACAGAAGAUAGUAGGGAUGACAAGUUUUUUUUGGGGCACACUCUAAGUUGGUCCGGUGUUUGGAAUGAGACUGGGGCCUAAUAAAAAGGAGCAUCUAUACAGGAGCCCAAAUGGGCUGUACCUUGUAGCAUUCUGAGGACGGGUCUGACUUCUGAGAAGGGAAAGUGGUAAAAGUAUUGUCCAGUUCUUUUUAAGUUGGUGGCUGAGCUUGGUGAGGUGUGUUUUUGAAAGACCUUUAGUCCGUUCUACUUUUCUUGAAGACAGACGACUAUAAGGGAUAUAAAGGUUUCACUGAAUACUAAGAGCCUGAAAAACUGCUUGGCUGAUUUGACUAAUAAAGGUUGGUCUGUUAUCAGACUGUAUAGAGGUGGGAAGGCUAAACUGAGGGAUUAUGUCUGACAGAAGGGAAGAAAUGACUGCAGUGGCCUUCUCAGACCCUGUAGGAAAGGCCUCUACCUAUCUAGUGAAAGUGUCUACUUAGACUAAGAGGUAUUUUAGUUUUUGUGACUCAGGGCAUGUUGAGUAAAGCUAAUUUGCCAGUUCCGGGGGCGGGGGCAGGGGGCAAAUCCUCAAGUUUGAUGUGUAGGGAAGGGAGGGGUCCUGAAUAAUCCUUGAGGAGUAGUAGAAUAGCAGAUAGAAUAGCAGAUGGAACACUGAGAAAUUAUUUCCUUGAGGAUAGAUUUCUACAAUGGAAAGGAAAUGAGAGGUUCUAAGAGGCGGGCUAGUGGCUUGUACUAUAGCAUAGCCUGCCUUUGCUGGUGUGUGGCGAUUAGGCCUGGUGGAACUGCCAUCAAUAAAUCAAGCGUGAUCAGGGUGAGGAACAGGAAAGAAGGAAAUAUGGGGAAAUGUGGUGAAUGUCAGGUGGAUCAGAGACAUACAGUCAUGGGGGUCAGGUGUGGUAUCAGGAAUAAUGUGGGAGGCCAGAUUGAAGUCUGGGCCAGGAACAAUGGUAAUUGUGGGACUUAACAAAGAGUGAGUACAGCUGAAGGAGCCGGGGAGCAGAAAGUAUAUGCAUCAGGUAUGAGGAAGAAAAUAGAUUUUGGAAGUUAUGAGAAAUGUAGAGAGUAAGUUGAGCAUAGUUUAUGAUUUUUAGGGCCUCUAAAAGUAUUAGGGUGGCAGCAGCCGCUGCACGGAGACAUGAGGGCUAGGCUAAAACAGUAAGGUCAAGUUGUUUGGACAGAAAGGCUACAGGGUGCGGUCCUGGCUCUUGUGUAAGAAUUCUGACCACACUAACCAUGCCUAGGAAGGAAAGGAGUUGUUGUUUUGUAAGGGAUUGAGGUUGGGGAGAUUAAUUGGACACGAUCAGCAGGGAGAGCACCUGUGUUUUUAUGAGAAUUAUGCUGAGAUAGGUAACAGAUGAGGGUGAAAUUUGGGCUUGACUGAAGUAAUGGGGGCUGUCUGUGAAGCCUUGCGGCAGUACAGCCCAGGUAAUUUGCUGAGCCUAAUGGGUGUUAGGGUCAGUCCAGCUGAAAGCGAAGAGAGGCUGGGAUGAUGGGUGCAAAGGAAUAGUAAAGAAAACAUGUUUGAGAUCCAGAACAGAAUAAUGGAUUGUGGAGGGAGGUAUUGAGGAUAGGAGAGUAUAUGGGUUUGGCACCAUAGGGUGGAUAGGCAAAACAAUUUGGUUGAUAAGGCAUAGAUCCCGAACUAACUUGGAAGGCUUGUCUGGUUUUAGGACAGGUAUAAUGGGGGAAUUGUAAGGAGAGUUUAUAGGCUUUAAAAGGCCAUGCUGUAGCACGCAAGUGAUAACAGGCUUUAAUCCUUUCAAAGCAUGGUGUGGGAUGAGAUAUUGGCAUUGAGCGGGGUAAGGGUGAUUAGGUUUUAAUGAGAUAGUAAGGGGUGCAUGAUCAGUUACCAAGGAGGGAGUAGAGGUAUCUUAUUCCUGUGGGUUAAGGUGGGGGAAUACAAGAGGAGGACGCAAAGGAGGCUUUGGAUUGGGAAGAAGGGCAGCAAUGAGAUGUAGCUGUAAUCCAGGACUAGUCAGGGAAGCAGAUAAUUUAGUUAAAGUGUCUCGGCCUAAUAAGGGAACUGAGCAGGUGGGGAUAACUAAAAGAGUGCUUAGAAGAGUAUUGUCUCAGUUGGCACCAGAGUUGGGGAGUUUUAAGAGGUUUAGAAGCCUGGCCGUCAAUACCUACAACAGUUACGGAGGCAAGGGAAACAGGCCCUUGAAAAGAAGGUAAUGUGGAGUGGGUAGGCUCCAUAUUGAUUAAGGGGACGGACUUACCUUCCACUGUGAGAGUUACUCGAAGCUCAGCGUCUGUGAUGAUCUAUGGGGCUUUCGAGGUGAUCGGGCAGCGUCAGUCUUCAGCUGCUAAGCCGAGAAGGAGUCAGAGAGCCUUGGGCCAGAAUUCCAGGGGCUCUGGGAGUGCCUGCCAGGCUGGAGGGCAAUGGCGUGGUUUUGCUCACUGCAACCUCCGCCUUCCAGGUUCAAGGAUUCUUCUGCAUCAGCCUUGCAAUUAGCUAGGAAUACAGAAAGUGAUGGCCCAAUUAUUGAAAAAUUUGAGUUUCAUUUCAUUGUGAUUGGAAGAGACACACUCCAUCCACUCUCUAUGAAAAGCAUCCGUGUACCUUCUUCCUCUUGGUCACUAGACAAGAGCCUGGAACUCACUGAACUGUGGGAGUGAAAGAGCUGUAACUCUCCUGCUCUCUGAUCUAUGGACAGGGGGACUAAAAGAGCUAUAACACUCCUGCCUUGCAAACUACAGUAGUAAAAAAGAAACACAAAAGUACCAUCAAAAGUUUCUGGUGAAAAUUGAAUUACCAAAAACAUUGAAAGUGCUUAAAACAGUACCUGCAACAUAGUAAGAGCUCAACAAACGUUAUUCAUUUAUGUUCAUAAUUUGGAUUGAUAAAUUACCCUACUGAAAAAUAAAUACUUUCAGAUUGAAUUUAAAAGCAAUAAUAAAAUCUCUUGAUGCUUAAAAGAGAUGAACAAGACAGCAAAUAAACUUCAAUGCUGAAAAUAAGAACAAUAUACAAAUUUUUAUCAAGGAAAUCUCAGGGACCCUGUAAACAGUCGUUCUGUUCAUAUUUGUUGUUGUUUCUUUAGAGGAGGGCAUCUAGGCAAUAAGAAAACUGGAAUGUGAAAUCUAUCUACUUUUCUGUUUCCAAAGCUCAGAAUUAUGUUAAUUUUACUGAACCAACUAACAGGAGGGGUGACUUUUUGUCAUUUAUAGAAAAGCAUUAUAGAUAAUAUUCAGGGGAUUCACUAAAAUAACAAGACACUCUGUGCAAUUGCCUAUUGGUAUUUGAGUUCCAGUGUAAAACCUAAAAUAAUUUGUUUAAAGUUAAAACAGUAUAACAACAUGACUUUAAAAGUUAUUACUUCACAUUCCAAGAUCAGAGAUCCUACCAUCUCUGGGGCCUGCCAAAAGUCGAUGAUACAGUCAUUUCAGCAGAAUCAUUCACUUGAUUACAUAAAGGGAAGAUUGGGAAAGAAAAGAUGGUGACUUUUGAGGAGAGUGCAGAGUGCCUAAAGGAAGAUCAUUGUGCUUCUCUAUCUGCUGUGAUAAAGGGGAGAGAGGGACACUUCUCUCUAGCAAAAGAUCUGCUUCUUCUGGACUUUGGACACAAGCUUAGGAAAGAAUUGGCAGAGCUGAUAGAGAGUGUCAUUAGCAGAAGCAUGCAUUUCCACCAUGUGGUUUGAAAAGUACCUAUGAAAUUUGCUGGGUUUGAUGGACGCCACUGAGGGGAACCUGACUUGAAGCAUCUUACUACUGCCCCUCCUGGAACCACUCUGUGCAUAGGAAUACUCAACUGAUGACAAUGAGUGAUUUAUGACACAACUGAAAAGAGAAGGAAGAAGCCGAGCCUAUGCUGGGAAUUCUAUGCCCAGAGUCUGCAUAGUGUACAGCUUUAUAAAACCCCUAAAUGUGUCUGACACAGAGUUUUCAUUUGGACUUGCAGCCUUAGGAAGGAGCAACAGCCUGCAGAAAUUCUUGUGAUAUUUUCAACGUACUUUAAGUGAGACACUGAAAAUUUGCUACUCUCCCAAUAAUAUUACGAAUUAUGAAGUCAUGACUCAUCUUUUCCAUUAUAUAGCUUUAUGAAAUUCACUUAAAGAUGAUUAUUUAAAAGCGUGUUUAGUAGGUAAGAAUAUACUAAGAAGAUAUUAUUAAAUGGUUUAAUUAUAUCAUGAAUCCUUUUAUAGUUUAGGAAUGUUAUUUUUAAUUAGCAAUUCUAGACAUGACUGGAUGGUGAGAACCAAGAUCAUAAUGCCAGCUGUGUUUGGCUAGCAUUAGAUGUGAUCUUCUGUUGAUCUUGGUUUGAGCCUUAAUCUUAUCCUCCUUUGUUGCUAUUGGAUGGUAAAAGCACCAUAAUGUUGAUCGUGCCAAAAAGGAAUAUUUAAACACUAACACUGCUCAAAGGUCUGAGAACUUAAGCUAACAAAAUUAUGGUUCUUUUUUUCCUCUCUUUCUGGCAUUUGGUUAAAUAGCUUCUAAUUACCCAAUUUGGGAGAAGUUCUGAAACCAUGUCCCAAAGAGUUAAAGCAACCAGUGACUAACAGAAAUUCUUGAGUUUGCAGAAUGGUGGAUAAGAAAGGAAACAACUUGCUAAAACACUGAAACUCCCUCCACUUAUGAGAUAAAAGAACUGGCUGAAAUCAGUUUGGUCAACUGGAGUUUGUGCGGAAGUAGCUUGCUGACAUCAUAGCCUGAAUUUUCAUUGCAUGUCUCAUACCAACUCCCUCCAGAAUCUGCACAUGCAAAUGAGUUAGCAUAAAAAAGGUAACUGUGCAUGCCCAAGGACUUUCCAGACCUCUCCUUUCCUUCCACCAAUAAAACCUGAUAAUCUCAGAAUCCAACCCCUGAAUCUUUUCUAAUGAAAAUAUAGUCUUGAAGCCAGCACAGGGAGACAGCUUGGAGCUUGACUCCUGUCUCCUCGGGAGUGGACUUUCAAUAUAAAGCUUUUCUGUCCUCAAAAACCUGGUAUAGUAUUGGCUUCUAGCGUAUUCAGCAGCAAGCCCCUUUUGCUUGAUAAAGUUCCAGGAUCCUUCCUGCCAGAGGUUUUGCAUGUCCCUCUUUUUCCAUUGCUUCUCUUGGCCCCUAACAUCUGUUCAUCUCAUUAACUCUUACUCUGUUUUUCAAUUCAAAAACAAUAAUAGCUUUAAAGAAACAUUCCUAACCUUCUCAAAUGCAUUCGUUUUUCUAAUGUAUACUUUAAUAGAACAAUGUACUUCUUCCUCUCAUCUCUCUCACAACAUAAAUUUACCCUAGUGUGAUUUGGUGAUAAAUAUCUGUCACUAUACUAGAUUGUAUAUUCAAGUCAUGUGGAGAAUGUGUCUGUUUUCGUUCAUGAUGGUGUCUACAUUAAAUAAUCCAAUGUGACAAGAAAUAUUUGUUCAAUGAAUGAGCUCCCUGAUGAAUGGAUAAAAUGAUGCUCUGAUAUGUAUGAAUGUUGAUAUUAGACACACUUAUCAAUUAUAUGUACUGUAAAUAGCAUGUAGUAGCAUUUCAAUGAGUAUUUGCUGAUUGACAGAUUUGACUAUCAAUCCCUGCUCUGAUUUCCUUUUGGGAUUUGAUUAUAUUCUUUGUACCCCUUCCAGCUUUAUUAAAGUAUAAUUGACAAAUAAGAU
Molecule: long non-coding RNA, 5724 nt
Filed under: Homo sapiens (human)
Lineage: Eukaryota; Metazoa; Chordata; Mammalia; Primates; Hominidae
Description: HSALNT0009356
Source: RNAcentral